GACGGAGGAUGCAAGUGUUAUCCGGAAUCACUGGGCGUAAAGCGUCUGUAGGUGGUUUAAAAAGUCCACUGUUAAAAAUUGAAGCUUAACUUCAAAGAUGCCGUGGAAACUUUUAAACUUGAGUAUGAUAGGGGUAGAGGGAAUUUCCAGUGGAGCGGUGAAAUGCGUAGAUAUUGGAAAGACCACCAAUGGCGAAGGCACUCUACUGGGCCGACACUGACACUGAGAGACGAAAGCUAGGGGAGCGAAUGGG
RNAcentral lists this ribosomal RNA (253 nucleotides) under uncultured bacterium. RNAcentral describes it as "partial 16S ribosomal RNA". It matches the Rfam family "Bacterial small subunit ribosomal RNA", at positions 524 to 776 of the family's 1533-position model. The record is from RNAcentral.